GAUGAACGCUAGCGGCAGGCCUAAUACAUGCAAGUCGAGGGGUAGAAGAGGCUUGCUUCUUUGAGACCGGCGCACGGGUGCGUAACGCGUGUGCAACCUACCUUCAUCUGGGGGAUAGCCCGGAGAAAUCCGGAUUAAUACCGCAUAAAAUCACAGGAUGGCAUUAUCCAAUGAUCAAACAUUUAUGGGAUGGAGAUGGGCAGACGUGUCAGUAGCUAGUUGGCGGGGUAACGGCCCACCAAGGCGACGAUGACUAGGGGAUCUGAGAGGAUGGCCCCCCACACUGGUACUGAGACACGGACCAGACUCCUACGGGAGGCAGCAGUAAGGAAUAUUGGUCAAUGGAGGCAACUCUGAACCAGCCAUGCCGCGUGCAGGAAGACUGCCCUAUGGGUUGUAAACUGCUUUUAUUCGGGAAUAAACCUUAUUACGUGUAAUAAGCUGAAUGCACCGAAGGAAUAAGGAUCGGCUAACUCCGUGCCAGCCGCCGCAGUAA
Molecule: ribosomal RNA, 496 nt
Filed under: uncultured bacterium
Lineage: Bacteria
Description: partial 16S ribosomal RNA
Rfam family: Bacterial small subunit ribosomal RNA
Source: RNAcentral